CCGGGGCCAUGGCCGAGGUCGGCGGGAGCCCGCGGAGGAGGGCGCCGGCGCUGCUCGAGGGGGCCCGCGCGCGCUGCGAGAGCCCGCACAUCUGGGACGACGUGUUCGGCGAGUCCAGCCCGGAGAGCGGCGGGAACCCCUUCUACAGCACGUCCGCCGCCUCGCGCUCCUCUUCGGCCGCCGCAUCGGACGACGAACAGGAGCGCCCCGGCCCCCCGCCGCCUCCCGGCGCCCCCGAAGCGCAGGAGUCCGACGAGGACGAGGCCAGCGCGGGUUGGAGUGCCACGCUGCGGGGCCGCCCGCCCAUGCGCUUCGAGGACAGUGGCGCACAAGUCGAGGGAGAGGAUGAAAGAGAAGCAAGAUCUGCACUGAGCAAGGAGCCAGAUGCAGGGCUGGAUCCCAGGACCCUGGACAGAUGCUGCACUGAGGGAGCCACCCAGACACCCUUUUAGACCUAGGAUGCAGGUAAGAUCUGAAGGAGUCAAUCUGUUUCUUCUGUGGCUUCAAGCACUUCAGACAAACUUUGCAGAAGAGCAGGUGCUGAUUUUUGCUUGCCUCGUGCCUGGUUUCCCAGCGAUCAUGUCAUCCAGAGGGACCUGCAUGGUGGAGACACUCAUCAGUCCUAGCCCUGGUGUGGUGGAUGGAAUGAAAAGGACUCGUCAUUCACCGGCAAAUCUGAAGAAAGAAGCGAGAGCAAGAGUAAGGGAGAAAGAGAGUGAGAGGAGCAUCUGAUGGGAUAGGAUUUCUUACAAAAGGACUCCUGAAAUGACCAGAGAAAACAGACCAACAAAAAAGGGCAGACUUUGACCAAGCGGUGCUCAACGACGUGAAUAUCCACAUGGAACAGAAGAGGUUUUAACGCUAUUCCCUACUGAUGUAGCCUACAUACUAAAGAGGACAUCAGAAGUUUUCUGGAAGAUACAAUAGAUAACCAUUUUGAGGACCUGGGGGAGGUGGCAGAGAUGAGUGGAACAGAACACCAAAAACAGGAAGCCCAAGAAAGCUUGGGUGCCGCUUCCAGUCGGCGACGAGAGAAGAAUUAGGCAUGAACCAGUCAGCUGCAAAAGACUGGGAGCAGGGGACAAUAGUCGAAAAGGACGAAAAGGACGGCUGCCAGGAACAACUCCACAGUCUCACUUUUAUUGGAUAGAAAACAAUAGCCAAUAGAAGGAUUGAGGAAGGUCAAAUGUUAAUCCCAUCUUUCUGACAAGCAAGAAGGAGGAUAAAGUUUAUAGUUAAGCAAGCACAUUGAAAAAACUCUUCUAACAACGGGCACUUCUGGGAAGAGAAAGGCUCGAUGGCGGAUAAGGGAGGCAGGCGGUUUUUAUUCCACCCUGAGCUAACCUGGCGUUCCUGGGUGCUCUGCUUUCCUGAAGCAGGCGGCAUUCCGCCCUGGGCCAGCCGGACUUCCAGCCAGCGCAGCUUCUGUGAAGGGGCGGUGUUCCGCCUUGAGCGAGCUGGGCAUCUCCAGCUACCCAGCUUCACAGUCAUAUAUCAUCCUUUUCCCCAAAUACCUGUUGCCAGUAUAUGUAUUUCUAGAGGUCAUAUGUAAAUGUGCUUGGUAACUAGUAAAAUCCUCCAGGGGUUACAGUUUAAGUAACAAAUUGUUCCAAGGGGCAGCAGCAGUUGGGAAGUUGGACUCUACUCAUUCCAAGGUUCCAAACAAAAAAAUCUUGCCCAACAAAUGACAAGACUAAAACUAUUAAAGACUCUAUGCAGAUACCAGAUAAGAAACUGUAUACAACUCUAAAUAGGAGAACUAGGAAUCAAGAAGAAUAGAUAGGUAACUUCAAAACAAUGAAAAUCCUAGAGCAGAAAUAUCCCAAGGAGAAAGCCAUCGGCCAAGAAACAUGAAAAGAUUCCUGAAAUCCUCAGUGAUCACAAAAGAGCAAAGGAAAACACAAUGUGUUAGUGUUAACCCAAGGGGGCAGACCCCAAAGAGUGUUGCUUAAUCCAAUGGAUUGAAUCAUGAAAAACGGAUUUAAUCAUGGAGUGGGGCACCUGGGUGGCUGCUUUCUGCUGGGGUCCUGAUGCCAGUGUCUUGGGCUCCAGACCUUCCUGGGGCUCUGUGCUCAGCAGGAAGCCUGCUUCUCCCUCUCCCACUUCCAUGGCUUCUACUCCUUCUCAAAUUGGGCUUCCUCUCUUGCUGUCUCUGUAUUUCUGUCCAAUUCAUCAAUCGAUCAACCAAUUCCUUCAAUUCAAGAAGUAAAAAUAAAAUGUUGAUGCAUGGGGCCCUAAAGAACGACAAGAAUAUGGAGGGUUGUUUGAUGAUUUUUUAAAGAUUUUCUUUCUUCCUCUGACAGACAGAGAGGAGAAGGAGGGAGAGAGACAGGCAGAGAUGGAGGGGUAAACAGGCUCCAUGCUAAGGAAAGAGCCAGAUGCAGGGCAGGGUGCGCAGGCUGCUGCCUCGCCAAGUCCAGCAUGAAGCCCUGCAGCAGCUCCAGCAGUCCCAAGGGGAUCUCUCUGCAGGUCUUGCCUGCCCCUCUCCCGCCGGGGGCACCUGGGCGCCGCCCUCACCUCCUCCCUGGAACGACCUGUGGCCCUGCCCCACCCCCACCCCCCCCAACAAGCACGCUCAGAGGGCGCUGGAGGCGCUCAAGGAGGCUUGCCCCAAGGCUCCCUUGGCUCAGCUGCUCCCUGCUGCUCCCUGCCAUGGCAGCACCGAGGGCGGCAUCCGCUGAGGGAGCCUGCCCCUGGCAGGGCUGGCAGCACCGAGGGAACCUCCUGCUUGCCCUGGGGCCUGUCACUUCUCUCCCCACCCCUCCCACUCUCAACCAUUGUUCCCUUCUGUGAAGGGUUUUCAUACUUGGUUUUAGGGCAAGAGCACAAUUGAGUGUGAGGGGGAAAGGGCAGGACCAAAAGAGAGACCCAGUGGACUCUGCCCUGAGCCCAGAGUUUGCCUCAGGGCUCAAUCUCAAGAGCCUGUGAUCACCACCUGAGCCAGAACCAAAGAGUUGGGCGCUUUACUGAGUGUGCCACCCAGGUGCCCCUGAGCUGUUGUGGACCAAUUUCUGGAGAGGGGUGCCUGCGUGGCUCUGUUUGUUCAGCGACGGCCUUGGGCUCAGGUCAUGACCCCGGUUUUGCAGGAUCUCCUCCCGCCUCGGGCUCCCAGCUCCUUGGGGAGUUGGUUUCUCCCACUGACCUCCUCUCUCAUGCUCUCUCUCACUCAUUCUCUCACAAAGAAAGAAAGAAAAGCUUUCCAAAAAAUGUCUUUAGCCUUGUUUUAUGGGCUUCAAUAUGGUUGAUCUCAAUGAGUUUUCUCAUCGGAUGCAGACAACUUGAGGAUAGCCAUGAGUUUCUAAAAGGGUCCUUUUGUGUUCUGAAAUGUCUUCUUUCUCUGUUCAUUUAUCAGGUGUCUUUCCAUUGUCUCUUCUCAAGACCUAGGAAAAGCAGCCUUUGAGGAUUCGUUUGGGUAUGGUCUAGUCCUUUUCAUCCUUUUUCUUUCCACAAAAUCUAUAGUAGCCUCUGCAUCCUUCUAAGUAGAGUUUAUUUUUCACUGCCCUAUUGAGGUCUUUUCUUUCAAUAGAAUUUGAGUCGUUCAUUCUGAAGGUCAUUGUUGAAAUGUUGAAUUUGAAGUCUACUACCUCGCUAGGCAUAUUUUCUUGUUCCUGUCUAUUCCUUCUUCCCUUUCCCUUUAGAACUGCCUUCCUUUCGAUGACCUGAGUCCUUUGGAGGCUAAUCUCUGCCUUCUUUGAUUGGCUGUCACAGGGGAAGUCAGAGAUUAGUAGGUAUUUCUGACCCUUUUUACAGUUGUUCUCCCCUUCUUUAGGGAAGCUCUAGAGUCAGCUUUCUCGGAGGGAUCAUUUCAUCCCGCUCCUAACUCAUGCUCCUUACCGGGUCUCUACUGAAUAUUGUGACUUAGCCAGAAGAACACUUCCCUUUGGCUGGUAGGAACUCCAAUGAUCUCUAGCCUUGUAGGAGUCUUGGCAACCAUCUGGUUCCGUUGCCUUGACUCUCUGUCAGAACCUGGAGCAUUUUCUAAGACACACAUUGCUUCCUAUGGACCAAGGACUCAAGAGGACUCCAGUGUGUAUUUUCAAGAGCUUGUUUUCUACUUGAAUUCCGUCUCUCUGGUACCCAUGGCGUUUUCAUCACUCCAGCCUUCCUGAAUCCCAAUCUCUCUUUCCUCACAGCAGGGAGACUUCCAUCUUUUCCUUGGAAUCUCCUCCCUACGUGCACCAUCCAGAACUAUUCCAGGUGAAAAUUGAGUGAAUCCUGGGGCUCAGUUUUUGUUUGUUUGUUUGCUUGCUUUCCUUUUCACACGGUUUUCAAAUGUCCAUUCGUUUUCAAUGUUUUAAAGAGUAAUUUAUGUAGAUAUAGAUAUAGACAUAUCUAUAUAUAUAGAUAGAUUUUUUUCUCUUUUCCAAUUCCUCAUGGGCUUCUGAUUGGUUACUUUUCCUCUAACAGGGUUGUAUUAGUUUUCUAUGGGUGCUAUUACAAGAUACCACAAGCCUAGAGGCUGAAACAACAGAAGUGGACAGUAUCACAGUUCUAGAGGCUACAGUGCUUGUAGACCAUGCUCCUUUUGGAGGUAUUAUGGGAGGAUCUGUUCCAGGCUCCUUUCCCAGCUUGAUGUAUUUGGACUUUGGACUUCUUCACAUGGCCCUCUCCCUCAAUGCAUAUCUGUGUAUCCACAGUCUCCCUUAGAAGGACACAAGUCCUCCUGAAUUAUGGGCCCAGGCUAUUCAAAUAUGAUCUCAUCCAUGCUAGUUACAUCUCCAGGGACCCUAUUUCCAAAUAAGGUCACAAACCCAGGUGCUUGGGUUUAGGACUGGGAUAGUAUAUAUGCAUACACACAUAAACACACACACACAUGUGAGUGUAUGUCUCUCUAUAUAUUUAUAUUUACAUUUAUAUUUAUAUGCACAUAUACUUUUUGAUUUUUUUUCCUAAUAAAACAUUUUUGUUCAGAAUCUUAGUCUU
Molecule: RNA transcript, 4923 nt
Organism: Mustela lutreola (European mink)
Lineage: Eukaryota; Metazoa; Chordata; Mammalia; Carnivora; Mustelidae
Gene name: piggyBac transposable element-derived protein 5-like
Exons: 4
Source: RefSeq, a predicted model, not a curated record